GAUGAACGCUGGCGGCGUGCUUAACACAUGCAAGUCGAACGGAAAGGCCCAAGAUUGCUUGGGUACUCGAGUGGCGAACGGGUGAGUAACACGUGGGUGAUCUGCCCUGCACUUCGGGAUAAGCCUGGGAAACUGGGUCUAAUACCGGAUAGGACCACAUUUUGGAUGGUGUGGUGGAAAGUUUUUCGGUGUGGGAUGAGCUCGCGGCCUAUCAGCUUGUUGGUGGGGUAAUGGCCUACCAAGGCGUCGACGGGUAGCCGGCCUGAGAGGGUGUACGGCCACAUUGGGACUGAGAUACGGCCCAGACUCCGACGGGAGGCAGCAGUGGGGAAGAUUGCACAAUGGGCGCAAGCCUGAUGCAGCGACGCCGCGUGGGGGAUGACGGCCUUCGGGUUGUAAACUCCUUUCGCUAGGGACGAAGCGUUAUGUGACGGUACCUGGAGAAGAAGCACCGGCUAACUACGUG
RNAcentral lists this ribosomal RNA (466 nucleotides) under uncultured bacterium. RNAcentral's name for it is "partial 16S ribosomal RNA". It matches the Rfam family "Bacterial small subunit ribosomal RNA", at positions 28 to 507 of the family's 1533-position model. The record is from RNAcentral.